RNAcentral lists this ribosomal RNA (397 nucleotides) under Escherichia coli. RNAcentral describes it as "partial 23S ribosomal RNA". It matches the Rfam family "Bacterial large subunit ribosomal RNA", at positions 556 to 955 of the family's 2925-position model. The record is from RNAcentral. Lineage: Bacteria; Pseudomonadati; Pseudomonadota; Gammaproteobacteria; Enterobacterales; Enterobacteriaceae.
CCGUGUACGUACAAGCAGUGGGAGCCUCUUUAUGGGGUGACUGCGUACCUUUUGUAUAAUGGGUCAGCGACUUAUAUUCUGUAGCAAGGUUAACCGAAUAGGGGAGCCGAAGGGAAACCGAGUCUUAACUGGGCGUUAAGUUGCAGGGUAUAGACCCGAAACCCGGUGAUCUAGCCAUGGGCAGGUUGAAGGUUGGGUAACACUAACUGGAGGACCGAACCGACUAAUGUUGAAAAAUUAGCGGAUGACUUGUGGCUGGGGGUGAAAGGCCAAUCAAACCGGGAGAUAGCUGGUUCUCCCCGAAAGCUAUUUAGGUAGCGCCUCGUGAAUUCAUCUCCGGGGGUAGAGCACUGUUUCGGCAAGGGGGUCAUCCCGACUUACCAACCCGAUGCAAACU